Molecule: non-coding RNA, 345 nt
Organism: Cinara cedri
Lineage: Eukaryota; Metazoa; Arthropoda; Insecta; Hemiptera; Aphididae
Source: the annotation of a GenBank genome assembly
GGCAAACCGAUCGGAUCUCGAAAAUUAUGUACUUAUAUCAAAUAUCAUUUUAUCCAUAAAUAAUCAUAACAAUAUUGUCCCAAUAGUACACAAAUUGCGACCCGAGUGGUUUUCUUAGAACACUGGUUGUUACGACGAAAAUCAAGACUGUACCAAUUAUACAAAGACAGCUAAACACAUUGUUAUUGGCCUAACGCUUGCACUCAAAUAUAUUUUAUCAGCAUCGAACAUAUUAUUGCAAAUUAUUUGGGCUACAAUGAGACAAUUGACCUGAUUGCAUCAAAAAAGCACGAAAAAUAUGUUUUCCUAAGUAAUGUUACCUAUAUAUUAUUAGUUGUAUUACAA